GAUCAUUUUGUGAUGAUAAGAAUGAAUUUCUGCCCUAUCAACUUUCGAUGGUAAUGUAGUGGAUUACCAUGGUGAUGACGGGUAACGGGGAAUUAGGGUUUGAUUCCGGAGAAAAGGCCUGAGAGACGGCCAUUACUUCUAAGGAAGGCAGCAGGCGCGUAAAUUACCCAAUCCUAAUACGGGGAGGUAGUGACAAGAAAUAUUGAUAUUGGACCCAAAGGGUACAAUGAUUGAAAUGAGAACAAUAUAAAAAACUUAACGUCUAACAAUUGGAGGGCAAGUCUGGUGCCAGCAGCCGCGGUAAUUCCAGCUCCAAGAGUGUAUAUUAAAGUUGUUGCGGUUAAAAAGCUCGUAGUUGAAUUUCUGAAAAUAAUCUUGUGAUUGAUUUAACCGUCAUGAACAAAAAUUGUUACUAUACUUGAUAGA
Molecule: ribosomal RNA, 426 nt
Filed under: uncultured eukaryote
Lineage: Eukaryota
Description: bacterial SSU rRNA
Rfam family: Eukaryotic small subunit ribosomal RNA
Source: RNAcentral